This 70-nucleotide transfer RNA is filed under the name Dipodomys ordii (Ord's kangaroo rat). It matches the Rfam family "tRNA". From Rfam's summary of the family: Transfer RNA (tRNA) molecules are approximately 80 nucleotides in length. Lineage: Eukaryota; Metazoa; Chordata; Mammalia; Rodentia; Heteromyidae. The record is from Rfam by way of RNAcentral.
GGAACUGUGGCUCAGUGGUAGAGUAUUUGCUCAGCAUGCAUGAAGCCCUGGGUUUGAUUCCUCAGUACCA